This 253-nucleotide ribosomal RNA is filed under the name uncultured bacterium. RNAcentral's name for it is "partial 16S ribosomal RNA". It matches the Rfam family "Bacterial small subunit ribosomal RNA", at positions 524 to 776 of the family's 1533-position model. The record is from RNAcentral.
GACGGAGGGUGCUAGCGUUGUUCGGAAUUACUGGGCGUAAAGGGCGCGUAGGCGGCCUGUUAAGUCGGGUGUGAAAGCCCGGGGCUCAACCCCGGAACGGCACCCGAGACUGACGGGCUUGAGACCGAGAGAGGAGAGUGGAAUACCCAGUGUAGAGGUGAAAUUCGUAGAUAUUGGGUGGAACACCAGUGGCGAAAGCGGCUCUCUGGCUCGGUUCUGACGCUGAGGCGCGAAAGCGUGGGGAGCAAACAGG